Molecule: long non-coding RNA, 814 nt
Organism: Acanthochromis polyacanthus (spiny chromis)
Lineage: Eukaryota; Metazoa; Chordata; Actinopteri; Pomacentridae
Exons: 3
Source: RefSeq, a predicted model, not a curated record
GUCAUGUUGGUACACUGCGGGUUCAGGCUCCUGUUUGGUCGCCUCAGCUUCGGGCAGCUGGAAUUUCAGGAACUGGUUGGCCUUCUCAAAGCCGCCAUAGGGCAUGGCAGUCCUGUCAAACCGAGCCAGUCCUCCUGCUCCUCCUGCUCCUCCUGCUCCACCUGCACCACCUGCACCUUUGCUUCCGGGCUUUGGAGGAGGCACAGGGGCUCCUCCUACUCCUCCUGCUUGUGCCCCUCCGAAGUACAGAUGCACAUUCUGUUUGCUAACAAAGUGCCCACCAACGUUUAUCAUCUGACCUCCCAUCUGACCGCCGAGGGAGGGAACAAACUUCUGAAGGCCCUCACCAUUGACUCACUGCUGAAGACAUCCGGGUUGUUCUCGUAGAUGAACUUCUCUACUCUCUGUUGUCUCAUCCUGAACAUCUUGGAGCCUCGGUUCUUCAUCAGGGAAAGCUCCUCCAGCAUGAUGUCUUUGGGAGUCCUGAUCUUUGUUCCCAGGUCAAACUCAGAUGCCUCUGGCUCAGACUCAUACUCUAGGUAAGGGACAUCCAAAAAAUGGCCAGAGCAAUUAUUUAGUCUUCUAGAAGGUUUAGGUCUUUCUAAAUCAUAACGUAGUGAAGUUAGGUUAAUUGAUCUGGGACACGAUCAUUGAAAUAUUUGUUUAGUCAUAGCUGUCAAGGAAAAAUGUUUUCGCAAAUGCCAAUGCUUUUUUAAAAAAAAUUGCAGUAGUAACAUACAAAUGCGAAAAAAGUUGCAAAAAAAAACUUUAUUGCUUUACUCAUAACAUUAUGUAAUAAAAAAGAUUUAAACUA